ACGGAAGGCAGCAGUAGAGAAUAUUGCACAAUGGGCGCAAGCCUGAUGCAGCGAUGCCGCGUGAGGGAAGAAGGUUUUCGGAUUGUAAACCUCUGUCAACAGGGACGAAAAUGACGGUACCUGUGAAGGAAGCUCCGGCUAACUACGUGCCAGCAGCCGCGGUAAUACGUAAGGAGCAAGCGUUAUCCGGAAUUACUGGGUGUAAAGGGAGUGUAGGCGGGACUGUAAGUCAGAUGUGAAAUAUGCCGGCUCAACUGGCAGACUGCAUUUGAAACUGCGGUUCUUGAGUGAAGUAGAGGUAAGCGGAAUUCCUAGUGUAGCGGUGAAAUGCGUAGAUAUUAGGAGGAACAUCAGUGGCGAAGGCGGCUUACUGGGCUUUAACUGACGCUGAGGCUCGAAAGCGUGGGGAGCAAACAGGAUUAGAUACCCUGGUA
This 434-nucleotide ribosomal RNA is filed under the name uncultured Ruminococcus sp. RNAcentral describes it as "partial 16S ribosomal RNA". It matches the Rfam family "Bacterial small subunit ribosomal RNA", at positions 341 to 792 of the family's 1533-position model. Lineage: Bacteria; Bacillati; Bacillota; Clostridia; Eubacteriales; Oscillospiraceae. The record is from RNAcentral.